GCGUGCCUAACACAUGCAAGUCGAACGGGGUUAACACGCUGACGAGACUUCGGUCAAAAUCUUGUGUUAACUUAGUGGCGAACGGGUGAGUAACGCGUGGGCAACCUGCCCCGUACCGGGGGAUAGCGGCUGGAAACGGCCGGUAAUACCGCAUAAGCGCACGGUGUGGCAUCACACAGUGUGAAAAACUCCGGUGGUACGGGAUGGGCCCGCGUCUGAUUAGCCAGUUGGUGAGGUAACGGCUCACCAAAGCGACGAUCAGUAGCCGGGCUGAGAGGCCGGACGGCCACAUUGGGACUGAGACACGGCCCAGACUCCUACGGGAGGCAGCAGUGGGGGAUAUUGCACAAUGGAGGAAACUCUGAUGCAGCGACGCCGCGUGAGUGAAGAAGUAUUUCGAUAUGUAAAGCUCUAUCAGCAGGGAAGAAAGCCCUCUUUAAGAGGGGAUGACGGUACCUGACUAAGAAGCCCCGGCUAACUACGUGCCAGCAGCCGCGGUAAUACGUAGGGGGCAAGCGUUAUCCGGAUUUACUGGGUGUAAAGGGAGCGCAGACGGUCAUACAAGUCUGAAGUGAAACCCCACGGCUCAACUGUGGGCUUGCUUUGGAAACUGCGUGACUUGAGUGCCGGAGGGGUAAGCGGAAUUCCCGGUGUAGCGGUGAAUGCGUAGAUAUCGGAGAACACCGGUGGGCGAAGCGGCUUACUGGACGGCACUGACGUUGAGGCUCGAGCGUGGGAGCAACAGGAUAGAUACCUGGUAGUCACGCGUAACGAUGAUCUAGUGUGGGAGCAAGCUUUCAUGCG
This 804-nucleotide ribosomal RNA is filed under the name uncultured rumen bacterium. RNAcentral's name for it is "bacterial SSU rRNA". It matches the Rfam family "Bacterial small subunit ribosomal RNA", at positions 42 to 847 of the family's 1533-position model. The record is from RNAcentral.